GGGGGCUAUUGGGAGGAUCAUGAGGACGGUUCCCCCAUGCUGUUCUCGUGAUAGUGAGGGAGGGCUCGCGAGAACUGAUGGUUUAUAAAUGGCGGUUUCCCCUGUGGCUCUUUCUCCUGCUGCCAUGAAAGACGUACCUUGCUUCCCGUUUGCAUUCUGCCACAAUUAUUUUGGCCCUUACAAACAGUGCUGUUGUGAACAUUGUGCCUGCCUGUCUUCUGGCUGGACAUAGUGGGGGCUACUCGAAGUGAGAUGUGUGGACCAAUGGAACCUUGGAACUUGUGUGAAAUACAGAAUCACAACCCACUACUAAGUCAGAAUUUGAAUUUUAUCAAGAUACCCAGGUUUUGUACCAUAGAAAAAAGGCUUUCCCUACUCAAAGGUCGUAAGU
Macaca mulatta (Rhesus monkey) is the source of this 391-nucleotide non-coding RNA. The record is from RefSeq and is a predicted model, not a curated record. NCBI's taxonomy places the organism in Eukaryota, Metazoa, Chordata, Mammalia, Primates, Cercopithecidae.